UACGUAGGGUGCAAGCGUUAAUCGGAAUUACUGGGCGUAAAGCGUGCGCAGGCGGUUUGGUAAGACAGAUGUGAAAUCCCCGGGCUUAACCUGGGAAUUGCAUUUGUGACUGCCCGGCUAGAGUGUGUCAGAGGGGGGUAGAAUUCCACGUGUAGCAGUGAAAUGCGUAGAGAUGCGGAGGAACACCGAUGGCGAAGGCAGCCCCCUGGGCUGACACUGACGCUCAGGCACGAAAGCGUGGGGAGCAAACAGG
RNAcentral lists this ribosomal RNA (253 nucleotides) under uncultured bacterium. Its description in RNAcentral is "partial 16S ribosomal RNA". It matches the Rfam family "Bacterial small subunit ribosomal RNA", at positions 524 to 776 of the family's 1533-position model. The record is from RNAcentral.